RNAcentral lists this ribosomal RNA (492 nucleotides) under uncultured bacterium. RNAcentral describes it as "partial 16S ribosomal RNA". It matches the Rfam family "Bacterial small subunit ribosomal RNA", at positions 29 to 507 of the family's 1533-position model. The record is from RNAcentral.
AGUGAACGCUGGCGGUAGGCCUAACACAUGCAAGUCGAACGGCAGCACAGUAAGAGCUUGCUCUUACGGGUGGCGAGUGGCGGACGGGUGAGGAAUACAUCGGAAUCUACUUUUUCGUGGGGGAUAACGUAGGGAAACUUACGCUAAUACCGCAUACGACCUACGGGUGAAAGCAGGGGAUCUUCGGACCUUGCGCGAUUGAAUGAGCCGAUGUCGGAUUAGCUAGUUGGCGGGGUAAAGGCCCACCAAGGCGACGAUCCGUAGCUGGUCUGAGAGGAUGAUCCGCCAACAUGGAAAUGAGACACGGUCCCGACUCCUACGGGAGGCCGCAGUGGGGAAUAUUGGGCAAUGGGGGCAAGCCUGAUCCAGGCCUACCGGGUGGGUGAAGAAGGCCUUUGGGUUGUAAAACCCCUUUGUUGGGAAAGAAAAGCAGCAGGUUAAUACCCCGCUGUUCUGACGGUACCCAAAGAAUAAGCACCGGCUAACUUCGUG